Molecule: ribosomal RNA, 449 nt
Filed under: uncultured bacterium
Lineage: Bacteria
Description: bacterial SSU rRNA
Rfam family: Bacterial small subunit ribosomal RNA
Source: RNAcentral
AGCGAACGUUAGCGGCGCGCCUAACACAUGCAAGUCGCACGAGAAAGGGAGCAAUCCCCGGUACAGUGGCGCACGGGUGAGUAACACGUAGAUGACCUUCCCUGGAGUGGUGGAUAACCUGCCGAAAGGCGGGCUAAUACAGCAUGGGACCACAUGGUUUUUGACCGAGUGGUGAAAGCGGGCCUCUGUUCACAAGCUCGCGCUCUGGGAUGGGUCUGCGUCCCAUCAGCUAGUUGGUGAGGUAAUGGCUCACCAAGGCAUCGACGGGUAGCCGGCCUUAGAGGGUGGUCGGCCGCACUGGGACUGAGACGCUGCCCAGACUCCUACGGGAGGCUGCAGUCGAGAAUCUUCCGCAAUGGGCGAAAGCCUGACGGAGCGACGCCGCGUGGAGGACGAAGGCCUCGGUUGGUAACUCCUCGUCACGAGUUAAGAAGGGUAGUGCGGCGAAC